CUCUUAUCGAGAGUGGCGGAGGGACUGGCCCGAUGAAGCCCGGCAACCAGUCGGUGGCGGUGGUCACCGGCCAGGUGCUAAUUCCUGCGGGAGAUCGAUUCUUCUGGGAGAUAAGAG
Molecule: non-coding RNA, 117 nt
Filed under: Desulforudis
Lineage: Bacteria; Bacillati; Bacillota; Clostridia; Thermoanaerobacterales; Desulforudaceae
Also listed under: 1 other name
Description: Candidatus Desulforudis SAM-I sequence
Rfam family: SAM riboswitch aptamer (S box leader)
About the family: The SAM riboswitch is found upstream of a number of genes which code for proteins involved in methionine or cysteine biosynthesis in Gram-positive bacteria.
Source: RNAcentral